RNAcentral lists this non-coding RNA (30 nucleotides) under Homo sapiens (human). Lineage: Eukaryota; Metazoa; Chordata; Mammalia; Primates; Hominidae. The record is from RNAcentral.
GACAUGCAUAGAGGGAAGACCAGGUGAAGA